CCACACAUUUUCCAUUUGCAAGAAACAUAUUCUCUCUUAUUCCUUUCUCUCUCCCUCUCUUAUUCCUAAAUCAAAUCCCAUGCUUUUUCAAGCUUGAAGCCACAUGUUUUCCAGAUCUAUAUAUUGUUUUUCAAGAUCUAUAUAUUGUUUUUCAAGCUUGAAGCCACUUGUUUCCCUCACUUAACCAUCAUUCAUCCCCAAUUUCUAUAUAUUGUAUCAAAUGUGGAAGUGAACAGAUCUGAGUCGGAGGUGAACAGAGUGACGUGAAGCAUGGUGCGGGUCAGCCACCAAGAUCUGAAAUCGAACAACCACCAUUAUCACUAAGCACAAGAAGAAAAGCAUAGUAGAGUUGCAGAGAAAUGAUGGUAUGGAGCCAGUAUGUGACUAACGGCAAAAUAUCUUCAAAUUGUUAUUUGAGUCACAGCACCUCAGGGAAGAAUGCAUUAUCCGAAACUUUGGCGUAGAACAAUAUUUGAAUAUACAAGAAACGAUAUUUGGCAUUUUUGGCGUUUUACUGAGGAAAUAGUGUAUCUGAAAGAACCGUCGAUUCUUUUUGGAAUUUUUGAUGUUUGAGUGUUUUGGCAUUUUCUAAGAUGAAUGGUAUAUAGUAGAAAAUAUCGCAUUUUUGAGUAGUUGUGUUUGAUGUUUUAGGGAUUUUGGCGCUGUAAGUUGAAUGGUAUAUAGUAGAAAAUAUGGCAUUUCAGGUUCUAGGAGGUGUGUUUUUAUGUUUGGGAUGUUUUUGU
RNAcentral lists this long non-coding RNA (743 nucleotides) under Helianthus annuus (common sunflower). RNAcentral describes it as "hypothetical non coding rna". Lineage: Eukaryota; Viridiplantae; Streptophyta; Magnoliopsida; Asterales; Asteraceae. The record is from RNAcentral.